RNAcentral lists this transfer RNA (84 nucleotides) under Dreissena polymorpha. It matches the Rfam family "tRNA". Rfam says of the family: Transfer RNA (tRNA) molecules are approximately 80 nucleotides in length. Their secondary structure includes four short double-helical elements and three loops (D, anti-codon, and T loops). Lineage: Eukaryota; Metazoa; Mollusca; Bivalvia; Myida; Dreissenidae. The record is from Rfam by way of RNAcentral.
GCCGGUAUAGCUCAUUUGGGAGAGCGUUAGACUGUUAACUCAACAGUCAUCUAAAGGCCCCCGGUUCAAUCCCGGGUUCCGGCA